This 408-nucleotide ribosomal RNA is filed under the name uncultured bacterium. Its description in RNAcentral is "bacterial SSU rRNA". It matches the Rfam family "Bacterial small subunit ribosomal RNA", at positions 30 to 433 of the family's 1533-position model. The record is from RNAcentral.
AUUGAACGCUGGCGGCAUGCCUAACACACGCAAGUCGAGCGGUAGCACAGAGAAGCUUGCUUCUUGGGUGACGAGCGGCGGACGGGUGAGUAACGCGUGGGAAUCUACCUGGUAGUGGGGGACAACAGUCGGAAACGACUGCUAAUACCGCAUACGCCCUUCGGGGAAGUGGGGAGUCUUCGGACCUCACGCUAUCAGAUGAGCCCGCGUCGGAUUAGCUUGUUGGUGAGGUAAAGGCUCACCAAGGCGAUGAUCCGUAGCCGGUCUGAGAGGAUGACCAGCCACACUGGGACUGAGACACGGCCCAGACUCCUACGGGAGGCAGCAGUGGGGAACAUUGGACAAUGGGGGCAACCCUGAUCCAGCCAUGCCGCGUGUGUGAAGAAGGGCCUUCGGGUUGUAAAGCAC